UUAAAUUGAAGAGUUUGAUCAUGGCUCAGAUUGAACGCUGGCGGCAGGCCUAACACAUGCAAGUCGAGCGGAAACGAGUUAUCAGAACCUUCGGGGAACGAUAAUGGCGUCGAGCGGCGGACGGGUGAGUAAUGCCUAGGAAAUUGCCCUGAUGUGGGGGAUAACC
RNAcentral lists this ribosomal RNA (166 nucleotides) under Vibrio parahaemolyticus. Its description in RNAcentral is "partial 16S ribosomal RNA". It matches the Rfam family "Bacterial small subunit ribosomal RNA", at positions 1 to 148 of the family's 1533-position model. The record is from RNAcentral. Lineage: Bacteria; Pseudomonadati; Pseudomonadota; Gammaproteobacteria; Vibrionales; Vibrionaceae.